This 783-nucleotide ribosomal RNA is filed under the name Ralstonia sp. M68C6. RNAcentral describes it as "bacterial SSU rRNA". It matches the Rfam family "Bacterial small subunit ribosomal RNA", at positions 56 to 829 of the family's 1533-position model. The record is from RNAcentral. Lineage: Bacteria; Pseudomonadati; Pseudomonadota; Betaproteobacteria; Burkholderiales; Burkholderiaceae.
UGCAGUCGAACGGCAGCAUGAUCUAGCUUGCUAGAUUGAUGGCGAGUGGCGAACGGGUGAGUAAUACAUCGGAACGUGCCCUGUAGUGGGGGAUAACUAGUCGAAAGAUUAGCUAAUACCGCAUACGACCUGAGGGUGAAAGUGGGGGACCGCAAGGCCUCAUGCUAUAGGAGCGGCCGAUGUCUGAUUAGCUAGUUGGUGGGGUAAAGGCCCACCAAGGCGACGAUCAGUAGCUGGUCUGAGAGGACGAUCAGCCACACUGGGACUGAGACACGGCCCAGACUCCUACGGGAGGCAGCAGUGGGGAAUUUUGGACAAUGGGCGAAAGCCUGAUCCAGCAAUGCCGCGUGUGUGAAGAAGGCCUUCGGGUUGUAAAGCACUUUUGUCCGGAAAGAAAUGGCUCUGGUUAAUACCUGGGGUCGAUGACGGUACCGGAAGAAUAAGGACCGGCUAACUACGUGCCAGCAGCCGCGGUAAUACGUAGGGUCCAAGCGUUAAUCGGAAUUACUGGGCGUAAAGCGUGCGCAGGCGGUUGUGCAAGACCGAUGUGAAAUCCCCGAGCUUAACUUGGGAAUUGCAUUGGUGACUGCACGGCUAGAGUGUGUCAGAGGGGGGUAGAAUUCCACGUGUAGCAGUGAAAUGCGUAGAGAUGUGGAGGAAUACCGAUGGCGAAGGCAGCCCCCUGGGAUAACACUGACGCUCAUGCACGAAAGCGUGGGGAGCAAACAGGAUUAGAUACCCUGGUAGUCCACGCCCUAAACGAUGUCAACUAGUUGUUGGGGA